Molecule: ribosomal RNA, 497 nt
Filed under: uncultured bacterium
Lineage: Bacteria
Description: partial 16S ribosomal RNA
Rfam family: Bacterial small subunit ribosomal RNA
Source: RNAcentral
GAUGAACGCUGGCGGCGUGCCUAAUACAUGCAAGUCGAGCGAACAGACGAGGAGCUUGCUCCUCUGACGUUAGCGGCGCACGGGUGAGUAACACGUGGAUAACCUACCUAUAAGACUGGGAUAACUUCGGGAAACCGGAGCUAAUACCGGAUAAUAUAUUGAACCGCAUGGUUCAAUAGUGAGAGACGGUUUUGCUGUCACUAAUAGAUGGAUCCGCGCUGCAUUAGCUAGUUGGUACGGUAACGGCUUACGAAGGCAAGCAUGCGUAGCCGACCUGAGAGGGUGAUCGGCGGCACGGGAAGUGGGACACGGUCCAGAGUCCUACGGGAGGGAGCAGUAGGGAAUCGGCCGCAAUGGUGGAAAGCCUUACGGAGCAAGGCCGCGUGAGUGAUGAAGGUCUUGGGAGCGGAAAACUCUGUUAUGAGUUAUGAACAAAUGUGGAAGUAACUAUGCACGUCUUGACGGUACCUGAUCAGAAAGCCACGGCUAACUACGUG